RNAcentral lists this long non-coding RNA (756 nucleotides) under Salvia miltiorrhiza (redroot sage). RNAcentral describes it as "long non-coding RNA (SMIL_LNC010446)". Lineage: Eukaryota; Viridiplantae; Streptophyta; Magnoliopsida; Lamiales; Lamiaceae. The record is from RNAcentral.
GUCGCCUGUUUUUCUUUCCAAGUUGAGCGAAGGACUUCAGGUGGGCAAUAUUUUGAGUAUACAUAUAUCAUACGAGCUUUCUAAACUGUUUUGAUGAUGUUAUGAGUUUAUCAAAUGUUUUGAGAUAAAUGAUGUUUGAGAACUGUUUGACUUGCCGAUUUUUGUUGAUAAUGACUUGUGUGUUACCCUCUACUGAUGAGACGAAUUCGGUCCUGCCACAAGCGGGAUUUUGUGCACAGAGGUGACUGCGAGCCGUCUUCGGGUCGGCCGGUCACGGUACUUGAGAGGGAGGCCUACUUCUCAGUACCUUUGAUGAUGAUGAGUUGUAGAUGUGGUGCAUACAUGUUGAGAUCUUUGACUGCAGUCGUUUCUUUAUGAUGUCAUGUUUAUUAAAACUGCUUACACAGGUUCAUUUACGCUAAUUUUAUUCCUGUGUAUUGCUGAGAUGUGGCAAGUUUCAAACCUAUAGCUCUAAGAGCACCUUUCUUAUUUUUCGGCGUUUGCCCACUGAGUAUUAUGUACUCACGCCCUGCAUGUAUUUCUAAAUGUGCAGGCUAAGCAAGGAGCGAGAUUGGUCUGGUGCUGGUGGGGGAAACGUUUCAAUCGACGUGUUUAUAUUUUUGUAUUGCCUUUUUGUUAAUAGAGUCUUGACAAUUGAGAUACUUUGCUUUCUUUUGAAAUCAAGCAAUUUACUCUCGGUUAUAUGUCUUCAUACAUAUAAUCGAUUCGCCUUUUGCUGCGAUACUCUGAAUAUUA